This 1362-nucleotide ribosomal RNA is filed under the name Indosylvirana aurantiaca (small wood frog). RNAcentral describes it as "partial 16S rRNA". It matches the Rfam family "Bacterial large subunit ribosomal RNA", at positions 162 to 2557 of the family's 2925-position model. The record is from RNAcentral. Lineage: Eukaryota; Metazoa; Chordata; Amphibia; Anura; Ranidae.
GCCUAAAGUCUAGCCCAACUAAUUCUAAUAACGAUAUUUCCUUUCUGUCACAAAACAAAUCAUUUAAAAAUUUUAGUACCGGAGAUAAAAAAAAUUAUAAGCGCUUCAGAUGUAGUACCGCAAGGGAAUAAUGAAAUAAAAAUGAAAUAAUUUAAAGCUCAACACAGCAGAGCUUACUCCUCGUACCUUUUGCAUCAUGGUCUAGCCAGUCUAAUCAAGCAAAAAGAGAUUUUAGUUUGACACCCCGAAACUAAGCGAGCUACUUCAAAACAGCCUUUGUGGGCAAACCCGUCUCUGUCGCAAAAGAGUGGGAAGAUUUUCAAGUAGAGGCGAAAAACCUACCGAGCUUAGAGAUAGCUGGUUGUUCAGGAAAAGAGUUUUAGCUCUGCCUUAAGUUUUUGUAUUAAAAUUAAAAACCCCCAUAAACUUAAGAGUUAUUCAAUUAAGGUACAGCUUAUUUGAUACAGGAUACAACCUACAAUAUUGGGUAAACAAAGAGUAAUAAAACAAAGUAGGCCUAAAAGCAGCCACCUUAAAAAAGCGUUACAGCUUCACUUUUUAAUCUAAAAUACCUAUAACCCCGAUGAACCCCUCACCACUACUGAACUAUUUUAUAACCUUAUAAAAGCUAUAAUGCUAGAACUAGUAACAAGAAAUCAUUUCUCCUAUAUGCAAGCAUAAACCAACAUGGAUAAUCCAUUGGCACAUAACGUUUGUGUCUCUAAUAUAACAACAUAAACUAGAAAACCUUAUUACCAAAAACGUUAACCUUACACCAGAGCAUACAAGGAAAGAUUAAAAGAGAAAAAAGGAACUCGGCAAAUUUUGGCCUCGCCUGUUUACCAAAAACAUCGCCUCUUGAAAAAACAUAGGAGGUCCAGCCUGCCCAGUGAAAAAUUUAACGGCCGCGGUACCCUGACCGUGCGAAGGUAGCAUAAUCACUUGUCCCUUAAAUAGGGACUAGCAUCAACGGCAUCACGAAGGCUGAACUGUCUCUUUUCUCCAAUCAGUGAAACUGAUCUCCCCGUGAAAAAGCGGGGAUUGACUUAUAAGACGAGAAGACCCCAUGGAGCUUUAGGUAAUGUAUACACCUAAAUUUGUUACACCAACUAAAUAUGAUAGCUUGAUUACUAACCUUAGGUUGGGAGGACCGCGGAGUACAACUAAACCCCCACAACAAAAAGGCAACACCUUUAUCCACGAGCUACAGCUCUAAGAAUUAAAAUAUUAAUGUCCAAUGACCCGAUAAUUCGAUCAACGAACCAAGUUACCCUGGGGAUAACAGCACAAUCUGCUUAAAGAGCUCAUAUCGACAAGCAGGUUUAUGACCUCGAUGUUGGAUCAGGGUAUCCCAGUGGUGCA